Molecule: non-coding RNA, 211 nt
Organism: Chelonoidis abingdonii (Abingdon island giant tortoise)
Lineage: Eukaryota; Metazoa; Chordata; Testudines; Testudinidae
Source: RefSeq, a predicted model, not a curated record
UUUAAGUUAUUUGAUGCUCCAGCCUUUAUACAGUCUCUCCUGGCAGUGCCCCUUUCAUCGGCUGGGCCUAGUUUUAGCUUUUGGGAAGCGUGACCCCAGGGGCUCUGAGACUGGGCCUUCUUGCCUCAGCACAUCUUGUUUCUUUCUGUGGUUCCCCAGUGAGUCCAAAUGAGUAGAUACUCCUCAUACAUACUCAGGUCUCUGCAGUGCC